AUCAGCUAGUUGGUAGGGUAAAAGCCUACCAAGGCUAUGACGGGUAGGGGACCUGAGAGGGUGGCCCCCCACAAUGGAACUGAAACACGGUCCAUACACCUACGGGUGGCAGCAGUAGGGAAUAUUAGAAAUGGACGAAAGUCUGAUCUAGCGACACCGCGUGUGCGAAGAAGGCCUUCGGGUUGUAAAGCACUUUUAGGAAGGAAUAGGAAGGAAGGUACUUCCAGAAUAAGUCUCGGCUAACUACGUGCCAGCAGCCGCGGUAACACGUAGGAGGCAAACGUUAUCCGGAUUUACUGGGCGUAAAGCGCGUGUAGGUGGUUCUGUAAGUAGGGCGUGAAAGCUCCCGGCUCAACUGGGAGAGGCCGUUCUAAACUGCAGAGCUAGAGGAUGGUAGAGGGAGGUGGAAUUCCAGGUGUAGCGGUGGAAUGCGCAGAUAUCUGGAGGAACACCAGUGGCGAAGGCGGCCUCCUGGACCAUUCCUGACACUCAGACGCGAAAGCUAGGGUAGCAAACGGGAUUAGAGACCCCGGUAGUCCUAGCCCUAAACGAUGUAGACUAGACGUCGGCGGUGUAAAAACUGUCGGUGUCCAAGCUAACGCGAUA
This 606-nucleotide ribosomal RNA is filed under the name uncultured bacterium. RNAcentral describes it as "bacterial SSU rRNA". It matches the Rfam family "Bacterial small subunit ribosomal RNA", at positions 240 to 862 of the family's 1533-position model. The record is from RNAcentral.